AGAGUUUGAUCCUGGCUCAGGAUGAACGCUGGCGGCGUGCCUAACACAUGCAAGUCGAACGGGCGCGGCGUGCGGCAGGGGCCUCGGCCCCUGCGGCGCCGCGCGAGUGGCGGACGGGUGAGUAACGCGUGGGCAACCUGCCCUGUACUGGGGGAUAACACCUGGAAAUAGGUGCUAAUACCGCAUAAGCGCGGCGUGCCGCAUGGCAUGGCGCGGAAAACCCCGGUGGUACAGGAUGGGCCCGCGUCUGAUUAGCUGGUUGGCAGGGUAACGGCCUACCAAGGCGACGAUCAGUAGCCGGCCUGAGAGGGUGGACGGCCACACUGGGACUGAGACACGGCCCAGACUCCUACGGGAGGCAGCAGGUGGGGGAUAUUGCACAAUGGGGGGAACCCUGAUGCAGCGACGCCGCGUGGGUGAAGGAGCGUUUCGGCGCGUAAAGCCCUAUCGGCAGGGAAGAAGAUGACGGUACCUGACCAAGAAGCCCCGGCUAACUACGUG
RNAcentral lists this ribosomal RNA (501 nucleotides) under uncultured Eubacteriales bacterium. Its description in RNAcentral is "bacterial SSU rRNA". It matches the Rfam family "Bacterial small subunit ribosomal RNA", at positions 8 to 507 of the family's 1533-position model. The record is from RNAcentral. Lineage: Bacteria; Bacillati; Bacillota; Clostridia; Eubacteriales.